GACGAACGCUGGCGGCGUGCUUAACACAUGCAAGUCGAACGGAAAGGCCUCUUUCGGGGGGUACUCGAGUGGCGAACGGGUGAGUAACACGCGAGUAACCUGCCCUCGUCUUUGGGAUAACUUCAGGAAACUGUGGCUAAUACAGGAUAGGAGCUCUUGCUGCGUGGUGGGGGUUGGAGAGUUUCGGCGGUUGGGGAUGGACUCGCGGGUUAUCAGCUUGUUGGUGGGGUAGUGGCUUAUCAAGGCUUUGUCGGGUAGCCGGCCUGAGAGGGUGACCGGCCAAAUUGGGACUGAGGAUCGGCCCAGACUCCUACGGGGGGCAGCAGUGGGGAAUAUUGCACAAUGGGUGGGAGCCUGAAGCAGCAACGCCGUGGGCGGGAUGACGGCCUUCGGGGUGGAAACCGCUUUCGCUCAUGACGAAGCUUUGUGUGACGGUAGUGGGUAAAGAAGCACCGGCUAACUACGUG
RNAcentral lists this ribosomal RNA (467 nucleotides) under uncultured bacterium. RNAcentral's name for it is "partial 16S ribosomal RNA". It matches the Rfam family "Bacterial small subunit ribosomal RNA", at positions 28 to 507 of the family's 1533-position model. The record is from RNAcentral.